This 1398-nucleotide long non-coding RNA is filed under the name Marmota monax (woodchuck). Lineage: Eukaryota; Metazoa; Chordata; Mammalia; Rodentia; Sciuridae. The record is from RNAcentral.
CCUGGUUCUUUUGAUUUUUUUUUUAAUAAAUAAAGUGAAAAUUUGAGAGUUAACCCCUAAAGAUAUAAUUAAUCGAUAAAUGCCUCUGUAUCCACUCAUCCAUUUUAGAUAAAUCUUUCCAGAUAAAACAGAAAGAAAGAACAGGAGAGGUGAUUCAUGUAGAGAUCAUUUCAUAAGGUGAGUUACAAUUCUUGAAAGAUCCACUGUUACAAUGUGUUGACACUAGCCUAUGAUCCACAUUAUUUGUCUAAAAUUCAAGGUAAAUUAGAAAUCAAUAAUAGAGUAGCAAAUAUAAGUAAUCCACUUGAAAUUUUUCUUUUAAGACUUAUGAUGAAAACUUUCAACAUGGAGAAAAGCAGAAACAAUAGUAAAAUUGCUGCCAUUGUUAAUAACAUGUUGUCUUAUUUAUUUUAUCUGUCACUGUAUCUCUUGUACAGUUAUUUCUACAUUUGAGAAAACAUCAGCUGUCACCCCUAAAUAUUAGUCUAUUACUUUUGAGCCCCAUCAUUUUACACAAUUUUGAAUUUUUAUGGAAGAGUUUAAGGAAAUUGUAAAAUGCCUUACAUUCUGCAUUUGAUUGUUUAUACUGUCAUUUAACUUGUUCUUUUUAUCCCCUUUUUACAUACAUAUAUUAUAAAGAUUUCAUUGGGUUCUAAAAAAUAUUUCCAAGCUGAUGCUGCCUAUAUCUAGAAACAUGUAAUACAGACUUUCAAUAAUUAGUCAAACUUAAAACUUGGUACGCAUUGUUGGAGUCUAUUAUAAGGCUCCCUUAUACAGUGAAUAAUCUGAAUGGUGAUAUUUUUGUAUCUCUAUUUGUAUAGUUAUUAUAAAGAGAAAAUCAAAUUUUGAAAUUCUUGUCUAUUUAGAAAACAGCAAUAUGAGAUGCCUAUGCAUCAGAAACAUUUUAAUUUUUAUUGUAUUUACUUACUUAUUUUGAGAUGAAGUCUUGCUAUGUUGCCAAGGCUGCCCUUGAACUCCAGGGCUUAAGUGUUCCACCUGUCUAAGCCUCACAGGUAGCUGGAAUUCUAGGCACAGGCCUCCAUACCUGGCAGUAUUAUAAUUUGAGGCCAAAGCUGUAAAAUUGAAAUAUUUGUUUAUAUAUAAUAGUUUUAAUACCAACAGGAAACCAUUUUGUUCACCUUUUCAUUCUCCACCAAUGUAAUAAUUGCCAGAGUAUAUGUAAUUACUAAAGCUAUUAAAAGAAGAAAUAAUCAUAUUCAGUUGUUCUGGGGCUGGUUUUUGAAAAGAAUUACCUUUCUCAUUGAGUCACUCUGUUGCAAAUCAACAGACCACAAGCUUGAUUUAAUUAUUUCUCAAUGUAUACUCUUCUAUACCAUUAGCUGUGGUCUGAAUGUUUAUGCCUCCCCAAAAUUCUUAUAUUGAAAUCCUAUCCCUACG